RNAcentral lists this ribosomal RNA (595 nucleotides) under Salmonella enterica subsp. enterica serovar Anatum. Its description in RNAcentral is "partial 23S ribosomal RNA". It matches the Rfam family "Bacterial large subunit ribosomal RNA", at positions 1084 to 1681 of the family's 2925-position model. Lineage: Bacteria; Pseudomonadati; Pseudomonadota; Gammaproteobacteria; Enterobacterales; Enterobacteriaceae. The record is from RNAcentral.
CCCAGACAGCCAGGAUGUUGGCUUAGAAGCAGCCAUCAUUUAAAGAAAGCGUAAUAGCUCACUGGUCGAGUCGGCCUGCGCGGAAGAUGUAACGGGGCUAAACCAUGCACCGAAGCUGCGGCAGCGACACUGUGUGUUGUUGGGUAGGGGAGCGUUCUGUAAGCCUGUGAAGGUGGCCUGUGAGGGUUGCUGGAGGUAUCAGAAGUGCGAAUGCUGACAUAAGUAACGAUAAAGCGGGUGAAAAGCCCGCUCGCCGGAAGACCAAGGGUUCCUGUCCAACGUUAAUCGGGGCAGGGUGAGUCGACCCCUAAGGCGAGGCCGAAAGGCGUAGUCGAUGGGAAACAGGUUAAUAUUCCUGUACUUGGUGUUACUGCGAAGGGGGGACGGAGAAGGCUAUGUUGGCCGGGCGACGGUUGUCCCGGUUUAAGCGUGUAGGCUGGUUUUCCAGGCAAAUCCGGAAAAUCAAGGCUGAGGCGUGAUGACGAGGCACUACGGUGCUGAAGCAACAAAUGCCCUGCUUCCAGGAAAAGCCUCUAAGCAUCAGGUAACAUCAAAUCGUACCCCAAACCGACACAGGUGGUCAGGUAGAGAAUAC